UACGGGGGGGGUAAGCGUUGUUCGGAAUUACUGGGCGUAAAGGGCUCGUAGGCGGCCAACUAAGUCAGACGUGAAAUCCCUCAGCUUAACUGGGGAACUGCGCCUGAUACUGGAUGGCUUGGAUCCGGGAGAGGGAUGCGGAAUUCCAGGUGUAGCGGUGAAAUGCGUAGAUAUCUGGAGGAACACCGGUGGCGAAGGCGGCAUCCUGGACCGGUAUUGACGCUGAGGAGCGAAAGCAUGGGGAGCGAACGGG
Molecule: ribosomal RNA, 253 nt
Filed under: uncultured bacterium
Lineage: Bacteria
Description: partial 16S ribosomal RNA
Rfam family: Bacterial small subunit ribosomal RNA
Source: RNAcentral